UCCCCAGGGGUCCAGUGGUUAGGACUCAGAACUUUCGCUGCUGAGGGCCUGGGUUCAAUCCCUGGUUGGGGAA
This 73-nucleotide transfer RNA is filed under the name Bos taurus (domestic cattle). It matches the Rfam family "tRNA". From Rfam's summary of the family: Transfer RNA (tRNA) molecules are approximately 80 nucleotides in length. Their secondary structure includes four short double-helical elements and three loops (D, anti-codon, and T loops). Lineage: Eukaryota; Metazoa; Chordata; Mammalia; Artiodactyla; Bovidae. RNAcentral also lists the same sequence under 5 other names. The record is from Rfam by way of RNAcentral.